GGCACGGUGGCAUAGUGGGUAGCACUGUUGCUACCACACAGCAAGAAGGUCGUGGGUUCGAUUCCAGCCUGGGGCC
Molecule: non-coding RNA, 76 nt
Organism: Gymnothorax javanicus (giant moray)
Lineage: Eukaryota; Metazoa; Chordata; Actinopteri; Anguilliformes; Muraenidae
Source: the annotation of a GenBank genome assembly